RNAcentral lists this ribosomal RNA (467 nucleotides) under uncultured bacterium. RNAcentral describes it as "partial 16S ribosomal RNA". It matches the Rfam family "Bacterial small subunit ribosomal RNA", at positions 29 to 507 of the family's 1533-position model. The record is from RNAcentral.
ACGAACGCUGGCGGCGUGCUUAACACAUGCAAGUCGAACGGAAAGGCCCUGCUUUUGUGGGGUGCUCGAGUGGCGAACGGGUGAGUAACACGUGAGUAACCUGCCCUUGACUUUGGGAUAACUUCAGGAAACUGGGGCUAAUACCGGAUAGGAGCUCCUGCUGCAUGGUGGGGGUCGGAAAGUUUCGGCGGUGGGGGAUGGACUCGCGGCUUAUCAGCUUGUUGGUGGGGUAGUGGCUUACCAAGGCUUUGACGGGUAGCCGGCCUGAGAGGGUGACCGGCCACAUUGGGACUGAGAUACGGCCCAGACUCCUACGGGAGGCAGCAGUGGGGAAUAUUGCACAAUGGGCGGAAGCCUGAUGCAGCAACGCCGCGUGCGGGAUGACGGCCUUCGGGUUGUAAACCGCUUUCGCCUGUGACGAAGCGUGAGUGACGGUAAUGGGUAAAGAAGCACCGGCUAACUACGUG